GCCCGAGUGGCCGAGCGGUUCUAGGCACUACAGUCUGGAACACUAUGGUCGCAGGUUCGAAUCCUGCCUCGGGCA
This 75-nucleotide transfer RNA is filed under the name Schistocerca americana (American grasshopper). Its description in RNAcentral is "tRNA-Ser". It matches the Rfam family "tRNA". From Rfam's summary of the family: Transfer RNA (tRNA) molecules are approximately 80 nucleotides in length. Their secondary structure includes four short double-helical elements and three loops (D, anti-codon, and T loops). Lineage: Eukaryota; Metazoa; Arthropoda; Insecta; Orthoptera; Acrididae. RNAcentral also lists the same sequence under 1 other name. The record is from RNAcentral.